AGCAGCCGCGGUAAUUCCAGCUCCAAUAGCGUAUAUUAAAGUUGUUGCAGUUAAAAAGCUCGUAGUUGAAUUUCGGGAUCAAUAUGUCGGUCGUGCCAUUGGUACGCACUGGCAUUAUUGGUUUCUACCUUCUGAAGAACCUCGAUGUCAUUAAUUUGGUGUCUUGGGGAAUCAGGACUGUUACUUUGAAAAAAUUAGAGUGUUUAAAGCAAGCUCGCGCUUGAAUACAUUAGCAUGGAAUAAUGAAAUAGGACGUUUGAUUCUAUUUUGUUGGUUUCUAGGAUUGACGUAAUGAUUAAUAGGGAUAGUUGGGGGCAUUAGUAUUCAAUUGUCAGAGGUGAAAUUCUUGGAUUUAUUGAAGACUAACUACUGCGAAAGCAUUUGCCAAGGAUGUUUUCAUUAAUCAAGAACGAAAGUUAGGGGAUCGAAGACGAUCAGAUACCGUCGUAGUCUUAACCAUAAACUAUGCCGACUAGGGAUCGGAUGAUGUUAAUUUUUUAAUGACUCAUUCGGCGCCUUACG
RNAcentral lists this ribosomal RNA (522 nucleotides) under uncultured Glomeraceae. RNAcentral describes it as "SSU rRNA". It matches the Rfam family "Eukaryotic small subunit ribosomal RNA", at positions 569 to 1092 of the family's 1831-position model. Lineage: Eukaryota; Fungi; Glomeromycota; Glomeromycetes; Glomerales; Glomeraceae. The record is from RNAcentral.